GACGAACGCUGGCGGCGUGCUUAACACAUGCAAGUCGAACGGAAAGGCCCUGCUUUUGUGGGGUGCUCGAGUGGCGAACGGGUGAGUAACACGUGAGUAACCUGCCCUUGACUUUGGGAUAACUUCAGGAAACUGGGGCUAAUACCGGAUAGGAGCUCCUGCUGCAUGGUGGGGGUUGGAAAGUUUCGGCGGUUGGGGAUGGACUCGCGGCUUAUCAGCUUGUUGGUGGGGUAGUGGCUUACCAAGGCUUUGACGGGUAGCCGGCCUGGGAGGGUGACCGGCCACAUUGGGACUGAGAUACGGCCCAGACUCCUACGGGAGGCAGCAGUGGGGAAUAUUGCACAAUGGGCGGAAGCCUGAUGCAGCAACGCCGCGUGCGGGAUGACGGCCUUCGGGUUGUAAACCGCUUCCGCCUGUGACGAAGCGUGAGUGACGGUAAUGGGUAAAGAAGCACCGGCUAACUACGUG
RNAcentral lists this ribosomal RNA (468 nucleotides) under uncultured bacterium. RNAcentral's name for it is "partial 16S ribosomal RNA". It matches the Rfam family "Bacterial small subunit ribosomal RNA", at positions 28 to 507 of the family's 1533-position model. The record is from RNAcentral.